CCUACGGGGGGCAGCAGUGAGGAAUAUUGGUCAAUGGACGAGAGUCUGAACCAGCCAAGUAGCGUGAAGGAUGACUGCCCUAUGGGUUGUAAACUUCUUUUAUAUGGGAAUAAAACGUUCCACGUGUGGGAUUUUGUAUGUACCAUAUGAAUAAGGAUCGGCUAACUCCGUGCCAGCAGCCGCGGUAAUACGGCGGAUCCGAGCGUUAUCCGGAUUUAUUGGGUUUAAAGGGAGCGUAGGUGGAUUGUUAAGUCAGUUGUGAAAGUUUGCGGCUCAACCGUAAAAUUGCAGUUGAAACUGGCAGUCUUGAGUACAGUAGAGGUGGGCGGAAUUCGUGGUGUAGCGGUGAAAUGCUUAGAUAUCACGAAGAACUCCGAUUGCGAAGGCAGUUCACUGGACUGCAACUGACACUGAGGCUCGAAAGUGUGGGUAUCAAACAGGAUUAGAUACCCCAGUAGUC
Molecule: ribosomal RNA, 460 nt
Filed under: uncultured bacterium
Lineage: Bacteria
Description: partial 16S ribosomal RNA
Rfam family: Bacterial small subunit ribosomal RNA
Source: RNAcentral